CUUCCCUUUCACACUUAUAAAAGCGUGGACUUUCAUUCCAUGAACUCAUCAGCUUCCUCUAUAUAAGCACCUUCUCAGUUUCUACUUUCUAGCCAGGGAGCUUCUGUUACACUUCCAUUAAUGGCUUCCAAAACCUUUCUGCUGAGUUCCUUCUUCUUUGCCACUAUUCUAUUGACCUUGAGCUUCAAGCUCUCAACGGCUCAAAUGGUGCCGGCGAUGUUCAUUUUCGGCGACUCACUUGUCGACGUCGGCAACAACAAUCACCUUCCUGUUUCUAUUGCCAAAGCAAACUUUCCUCACAACGGUAUCGAUUUUCCUACCAAGAAAGCCACUGGAAGGUUUAGCAAUGGCAAGAACGCUGCAGAUUUUCUCGCUGAGAAAGUGGGCUUGCCUAGUUCACCCCCAUAUCUAUCCCUGUCGUCGAAGAAUGCCUCUGCCUUCAUGACUGGCGUCAGCUUCGCCUCCGGUGGUGCUGGAAUCUUCAAUGGCACAGAUCAAACUCUGCGACAAUCCAUGCCCUUGACACAGCAAGUAGGUGACUAUGAAUCCGUGUAUGGAGUGUUGGUGCAAAAGCUGGGAUCCUCUCCUGCACAAAAAUUGUUAUCUAAAUCCCUAUUUGCUAUAGUCAUCGGUAGCAAUGACAUCUUUGGUUACUCAAACUCAUCCGAUCGCAACAAGAGCACCCCUCAAGAAUAUGUGGAUUUGAUGAUUCUCACAUUGAAACAACUAGUACAGAGAAUAUACGCUCAUGGUGGACGCAAGUUUUUUAUUUCUGGAGUUGCGCCAAUUGGAUGUACUCCGUCACGAAGGGUCAGGAUCCAAUCAGAAGCUUGCAAUGAAGAAAUUAAUUCAAUGGCUGUUACGUAUAAUGAAAGGCUAAAGUCAAUGUUGCAAAAACUGAAUUCAGAGCUCAAGGGUGUUUCUUACUCCUAUUUUGAUGCCUAUGCCAUGUUGGAAAACAUCAUUCAAAAACCAGCCACAUAUGGGUUUACAGAGGUGAAAGCUGCCUGUUGUGGACUUGGGACCCUAAAAGCCAAGGUGCCGUGUUUACCCAUUGCUAAGUAUUGUUCCAACAGAAAAGAUCAUGUAUUCUGGGAUCUUUUUCAUCCAACAGAGGCGGCUGCUCGGAUACUUGUGGAUACUGUUUUCGAUGGUCCAUCACAGUAUACAUAUCCCAUGAAUGUGAGGCAGCUGAUUGCAGUUUAAUUAAGCUUUAGAAACACACACAUAACAAUAUCACUUGUGGAAGAAGGUGUGAGUUAAUUGCACCAAAAGAAACGACAAAUAGGAUGGAUAUAUAUAUAUAUAUAGGAGGAAGGCAUGCAGUGGUGUUGUAGCCAUUUAGCUAGGUCGAUUUAUUCAAUUAUUCUCUUCCUCUAUCUUGAUUUAUUCAACAAUAUCAGUUAUGGUCGAUUUACGAUAGUGUUCUAACACUGAAACAAAACAAGUGUAGCAAUAAAUUAAGAUGCAUAUGAUAAAAG
This 1481-nucleotide unclassified non-coding RNA is filed under the name Hevea brasiliensis (rubber tree). The record is from RNAcentral. Lineage: Eukaryota; Viridiplantae; Streptophyta; Magnoliopsida; Malpighiales; Euphorbiaceae.